GUGAGCAGGAGGAAUGGGGCUAAUGGUGCUCACCUUCUCUGGCAGCCCCGUGCCAGCUCAUUGGUGAUGCAGACCAGGCAGCUGGUGUCAGAAGCCUGUCUUUGUAAACAUCUCUACUUUCGAAAAGAGAACAUAAUUCUGCUCCCCUGGUGUAUUUCUUCACUUAUAGCUGUCUGAAUUGAAAAGGCAGAUGUUUUAUUUGGGGAAUUGACUGCAAAGCACCUGGGGCAUGGAUGCAAGCAAAAGCCUCAGACUCUUAGAUCUUCAAUCUCUUCUCAUCAUCUGCUUGGAGCCUGCAUGAGGAAGGGCCAGCGGACCACACAGUGUGUAAGUUGAAGAAGCUGAGAUUCCCCAUUGAUGAUGCUUAAGAAACAUCAGAAUUGGGUUCAGAAGUUCAGGAAAGCUCCUCAUCCAUUGUCAUGGCACGUGUGCUUUGGGAAGGCCCACACUCUCAGCUAGAUCCUGGGCCAUCACAUCUUCUCUCUCUUUUCUUUUUUUUAAAUUAAUUGCA
Molecule: long non-coding RNA, 511 nt
Filed under: Equus caballus (horse)
Lineage: Eukaryota; Metazoa; Chordata; Mammalia; Perissodactyla; Equidae
Description: lncRNA (ENSECAG00000057871.1)
Source: RNAcentral